UGAGGAAUAUUGCGCAAUGGGGGAAACCCUGACGCAGCGACGCCGCGUGGAUGAUGAAGGCCUUCGGGUCGUAAAAUCCUGUCAGAUGGAAAGAAAUGCAUGGAUGUUAAUACCAUUUAUGUUUGACGGUACCAUCAAAGGAAGCACCGGCUAACUCCGUGCCAGCAGCCGCGGUAAUACGGAGGGUGCAAGCGUUGUUCGGAAUUACUGGGCGUAAAGCGCGCGUAGGCGGCUAUUUAAGUCAGAUGUGAAAGUCCACGGCUCAACCGUGGAAGUGCAUUUGAAACUGGAUGGCUUGAGUACUGGAGGGGGUGGUGGAAUUCCCGGUGUAGAGGUGAAAUUCGUAGAUAUCGGGAGGAAUACCGGUGGCGAAGGCGACCACCUGGCCAGAUACUGACGCUGAGGUGCGAAAGCGUGGGGAGCAAACA
Molecule: ribosomal RNA, 428 nt
Filed under: uncultured bacterium
Lineage: Bacteria
Description: bacterial SSU rRNA
Rfam family: Bacterial small subunit ribosomal RNA
Source: RNAcentral